GAACCGGACAAACGGUUAUUCGGGAAUUAUUGGGGCUUAAAGGGUGCGUAGGCGGCGUGGCAAGUUGGGAUGUGAAAUCCCUCGGGCUCAACCGAGGGAACUGCGUCCAAAACUGCCAUGCUCGAGGGAGACAGAGGUGAGCGGAACUUGCGGUGGAGCGGUGAAAUGCGUUGAUAUCGCAAGGAACACCCGUGGCGAAGGCGGCUCACUGGGUCUCUUCUGACGCUGAGGCACGAAAGCUAGGGGAGCGAACGGGAUUAGAUACCCCGGUAGUCCUAGCUGUAAACGAUGAGCACUUGGUCGGAGGAUUUUCACUGAUUUUCCGGCCGGAGCGAAAGCGUUAAGUGCUCCGCCUGGGGAGUAUGGUCGCAAAGGCUG
RNAcentral lists this ribosomal RNA (378 nucleotides) under uncultured organism. RNAcentral describes it as "partial 16S ribosomal RNA". It matches the Rfam family "Bacterial small subunit ribosomal RNA", at positions 527 to 896 of the family's 1533-position model. The record is from RNAcentral.